This is a long non-coding RNA of Prinia subflava (tawny-flanked prinia), 2831 nucleotides long. RefSeq lists it as uncharacterized. The transcript has 3 exons. Lineage: Eukaryota; Metazoa; Chordata; Aves; Passeriformes; Cisticolidae. The record is from RefSeq and is a predicted model, not a curated record.
CUUUGAUGUGUUUGUGCUGCUGGACGUCCGUGGGAGCAUCGUCCCGUGCCUGCAGCUCCCUGCUCCAUGGGGCCCUGGCUCCAUGCAGGCCUUGGCACAACCCGUGUGCCACAGGGGCAGGACACCGCCACCCUCGGCAGCCUCUGCACUCCAAAGUCCAGGUGACAGCAGCAGCCCAGCCCAGCUGUGCCAAGACACCAAAGGCACAGAAUCCUGCCAGAGAUGGGGAGCCGGUUGUGGCAUGUGGGUGCCACCAGGCAGCAUCGCUUUGUCCCCGUGAGCUGUGGCAGGGGGGUCGGUCCCAUCCAUCCCGUGGGUCCAGUAUCGUGCACAGGAAUUGAACUCCAUGACGGGUCCCUACCGCAUCAGCAUAUUCCAUCAUUCAGUGACAACCCACAACGAUUUUCUGGAAUUUCAGCUGGCUUCAUCCUGGCGCAGGAGUCCCAAAUCCCAGAGCUGUGAGAACAGAGCUGGCACUGAACUGCCCCUGAAACUCCCUGCUGGUAUCAGCAGCAUCCCAGGACCCUGCAACCCAACCCCCCCGGGCCAGCACGGCGAGAAGGGGCACGCCCAGACCUCUGUGGGUGAUGUCUCCCAGAAAACCUGCCCGAAACCUGUGCGGGGCGAGUGUCCACAUGGCAGGAUGAUUUCCUUGAGCGUGUGCUCCAGGAGAGGCAAACCCAGCAGCACAGAGCCGGGUGAAACUGGGGGGAUGCCCGCAAGUGAUGCAAGCAUGACUUGGAUGAGCUUGGAUGAGCUUGGAUGAGCUUGGCAUUGCACCACGGUCCAGAAAUCCAGUAUCAGGUUCAUGCCCGGGCUUGUGCACAGAGAAUCACCCUUGGGUUUUCGCUGCUGUGAGCGAUGGUUUUUGAUUAUUUAACGGAGAUACCGGAGGAGGUUUGAUCCUGGCCCCUCCACACACUCCGGUGAGCGAUUUGUUUGCUGAGGUGAUGAAAACUGCCUCGGCAGGAAAAGGAGGAAUGGAAGAAAAAGCAAAGGAAUGGAUGGCUUUGAAGGAAGAUGAAACACACAUGAAAUACAAACGUGUCCCACACGUCCCCAGGGCUCGGACAAAGCUGGGCUGGGUUCUGCAUUCCAGAGAGUCGGGGUCACCCCCUGCAUCUCCUCUGUGGGUGCAGAGCUGCCCCCAUCCCCAAGCUGGGUGUCUGUGACACCCUGAGGAGUCACCCUGGAGAGGGACAGGAGAGGGACAUGCAAGGUCUGCAGCACCAGGGUGCAGACAAAGGCAUGAACAAGCAUGGAGGGGACAGGGACGUGCACCAAAGGACAGGGAGAGCUGCAUUUCCAGCAGCCCGUGUGGGUUGGGACAGGCCUGGGGACAAGCACAUUGUCACUGGAGCUCCACAAACCCCACCACGCUCUGUUUACACAACAGAGAAUGUUUCAGUUGUUUUAUGGAGGUGCAUAGGAACAGCACAGGGACUAACGAGGCCAGGGCCAGGCUAAGCAACGCCUGCCCAGCACCUGCUCUCCCCUCACAGCCCAUAAAGACAUUUUAUUUUAAACGUAACACAGAUUUUACAGCGCAAUUUGGCAGCAGCACCUUUUGCCCAGGUACAAACCGUGCGGGCAAAGCUGCUCCUCCAGGACGUCUUCCUGUCUGUCACUAAUCCCUGGGUGAGAGUUCCUGAGCUGACUUUACACACUGAGAAACGAUGGCCAGGAGCAACCCUGCAAUUAAAUCCAGUUUCAGCAGCCCGUGAGGAGGAAAAAUCCGUGGGUGCCAAGCCUGGUGCAGCAGCCGUGCCAGGGCAGGGACAUGCAUGGCACCAACCUCUGCCCGUGGCAGCAGGGACUGAUUGUCCUUUGUCCCAUCCCAGCCCUGAACAUCCUGAUGGGACCAAAUCCCACUGCACUGCCAGGAGGAAAGUCAUUCUCUAUGGGCACGUGCUGCCAGAGCACUGUGGCAGAGGGAUGGCAUGAUCGGUGUGAUUUAACCUGUGACUGUCCAGGCACAAUUCUCCACUCAGCCAUUUAAGAAAAGCAAAAUUAAAAAAAAAAAACAGGGUUGAGGCCAUUCUUGCAAAUCUAGCCUCUUUUCUCUGGAGAAUCAUGGCUUAAUCCCAUUAUGGAGAAGUUUGGGGAUAGUUUUGCCUCACAGACUCCAUGACCAGCGCAUUUUUAUCUGCUCAGACCUUCCAGGAUGCUCUACCUGCUUUGAUUCACACUUAAUUACUAAAAAUUAAGGUUUUUUCAGAGCACGAGGGAGGGUGGGGGUGCAUGUACCAGCAUGAGGAGGGCUAACCCUCCGUGCUGCUCCAAAAUCCAGGCAGCAGAGCAAUGCCAAGCCAAGCACGGUGGGGAAAGCAGGAGAGAUCCAGUUUGAUGUCUGCCUUAUCAGUCUUAUUUUUAUUGCACCAAAGGUAUAAGAGCAAAAUAUUGAUUGUGAUGAUAAAGAGAUGAAAGUGUCAAGAAGGAAUAGGCACACAAGUUACUCAGGCGAUUGGAAGCCGCGUUGGUUGCAUUUAACAGGCAUUUGCCAUUAAAAAAAAAACGCCUGUUUUUAUUUAAAUAGCCUCGGGCAAAUUUCUCACUAAACCAACUUUCCCACGCCAGCCUAGUGCUCUAACUCUGGUUUUUGGCAAAUUUUUUCCUGAGCUGUCAAGGCAAAAUAUAUAUAAGAAUGCUGGUCUCACUUAGGUUUUUUUCCAGCCCCUGGAGACAUGAAAAUAAUUUACAGAUGUGCAUUACCUGUUUAUAUUUGUAUUAAGUUUUGCUUAACGGACAUGAUUUUCUUAGCUUGCAGUAACAAAAAAAUAUUCCCAGAGUUUCACUCAUUUAAUUUUAACUUAUUAAAACUUUUAAACAUG